GACGAACGCUGGCGGCGUGCUUAACACAUGCAAGUCGAACGGAAAGGCCCUGCUUUUGUGGGGUGCUCGAGUGGCGAACGGGUGAGUAACACGUGAGUAACCUGCCCUUGACUUUGGGAUAACUUCAGGAAACUGGGGCUAAUACCGGAUAGGAGCUCCUGCUGCAUGGUGGGGGUUGGAAAGUUUCGGCGGUUGGGGAUGGACUCGCGGCUUAUCAGCUUGUUGGUGGGGUAGUGGCUUACCAAGGCUUUGACGGGUAGCCGGCCUGAGAGGGUGAACGGCCGCAUUGGGACUGAGAUACGGCCCAGACUCCUACGGGAGGCAGAAGUGGGGAAUAUUGCACAAUGGGCGGAAGCCUGAUGCAGCAACGCCGCGUGCGGGAUGACGGCCUUCGGGUUGUAAACCGCUUUCGCCUGUGACGAAGCGUGAGUGACGGUAAUGGGUAAAGAAGCACCGGCUAACUACGUG
Molecule: ribosomal RNA, 468 nt
Filed under: uncultured bacterium
Lineage: Bacteria
Description: partial 16S ribosomal RNA
Rfam family: Bacterial small subunit ribosomal RNA
Source: RNAcentral